Acanthosepion pharaonis is the source of this 84-nucleotide non-coding RNA. The record is from the annotation of a GenBank genome assembly. NCBI's taxonomy places the organism in Eukaryota, Metazoa, Mollusca, Cephalopoda, Sepiida, Sepiidae.
UCCGGUAAGAUCACCGAAGUUAAGCAACGUCGGGCCUGGUCAGUACCUACUUGGGUGACCGCUUGGGAAUACCAGAUGUUGUAA